AUCGGGGGAAGGUGUGUUGUAAAGGAUGAUCCGCCUAUUAAUUUACUCUUAUUAUGUUGGUGUAUAUCUAGUUUAAUAUUAUUGUCUAGUGACUUAAUUUGUGUAGAAUUUAGUUAAGCUAAGUCUAUGUGCUGCAUAUAGGAGUUUUCAUGCGUUACAUUUAUAAAGAGUUAGUUGUAAAGACUAA
RNAcentral lists this ribosomal RNA (187 nucleotides) under Catenotaenia henttoneni. Its description in RNAcentral is "partial small subunit ribosomal RNA". Lineage: Eukaryota; Metazoa; Platyhelminthes; Cestoda; Cyclophyllidea; Catenotaeniidae. The record is from RNAcentral.